Ostrea edulis (European flat oyster) is the source of this 3817-nucleotide long non-coding RNA. RefSeq lists it as uncharacterized. The record is from RefSeq and is a predicted model, not a curated record. NCBI's taxonomy places the organism in Eukaryota, Metazoa, Mollusca, Bivalvia, Ostreida, Ostreidae. The transcript is spliced from 4 exons.
UCUCCUUUCUCUCUCUCUCUGAAUCACUCAACUCCAGACAUUUUGACAUCACAGAUUCUCUCUGAAUCAUUCCCCUCUGCUUAGUUCAGCAAAAAUUGAAGGAAAAAAAUGGAACAUGAUUAAAGAAUAAACACACACAAGAUAUCUAUCAGACCCUAGGGAAAUAUUUAUAUAAGUCUCCAUGGAAACCUAUCAGAGUGCUAGUGUUGUUUACAGAAACACAACGGAUUGGGAGGUUUCCUUAUCUUCUGUGGUAUCCACUGAAAUGGCUACUUACAAUAUUGUUAGAACUCGAGUUUAAUCAUGUACCUCUCUGAUGUUCGCAAUGACGAAAACUUGCUACCAAUACUGAAUGCCUAGUGCAUGUACAUUAUCUUGUAUCAUUAGUACCACUUGCUUGCAUUUGUCAAAAAAUAUUCCUGCUUUCUAACAUAAUGUAAUCCUUACACAAUUAUAAUUAGAUAAUUCCCUGCAUUUAAUAGAACCAAUGAUUGCAAAAUACAGCAAUUCUUUGAAAUGCUCUGCCUUACUACUUCAAUAGCUGAGAGUGCCACAUGCUUCUAUAACCAGACACUCUAGGGAAAACAAACAUGCAGUGAAUUGCACUGCAGCAUGUUGAAAUGUCAAGAAGGUUAUAGUUAUGAACAAAGAUAGCAUUAUGCUGUGUUCCUUAUGCCAUAUCAUGUUCUAUGUAGAGAUGUCAUUACUCUUGUCUGACUGGACAUGGACGCUUUCAGUGACACAGACAGAACUUUGUGCUCUCAGAGCAAUCUGAUCAGGAUUCUCUGAUUCAAUCCACACUGCUAUUUUUUAACUCUCAUAAAUCAUCAGUGAGUUCCUUUCUUGCAACAGUUGCAUUACACAAGAAGCUGCAACAAUACAUCCAGCUACACAUGACACACUAAGCAAUCUGUGAUAUCCACUCUGUCUCAAACCGCUGACUUUCAUGGUGAUUGAUUCUGGCAUCCAACAACUGUACUAAAGUUAUAGGCUUGUGUGUAUUACUAUACUCCACAAUCAAAUUGCAAACUGGCUACUGCACUGCAACCUGACAAAGACAAGUACAUAAGUGGUCCUACUAUCAACCUACUAUGGUUACUUGUUUUAAAGAUCAUUCUACUUUAAAUCACACUUACUAUCCCACUUAUGAGUCAAGGGAGAAGAGACAAUAUGUUGUCAUUUCGUUCAUACCAUAGUCAAGUUAUCUUGAAAUGCAAGUGAAGCAGAGUAAUUGCUAUUUCAUCUUGAAAUUUUCCCCUCUGCACAAAAGGAUUCCAUCUGACAGGUGUUUUAAUUUACCUGAUGGUCAAAAUAGGUAAUUGACCAUGUGACUGAUUUCAUUGCAUGAAAACUUAAUCAUUAACAAUGCUAUUAGGUGCAUGAGAGAAUUAUGAAAUGGACAGCCUGAGUCUUCACUCAUGAACUUCGAAAAAAGUAGAACUGCAAUGACACAUGGUAUGUGGGUUUUUUAUUUUUAUGACUGAAGUUACCAUCUUGUUUUUCUUACAUCAUCACAUCUAAUGGAAUUUGCAAACCUCAAAACCAUACUUUGGCAAAGAUAACAGCUGAACAGUUUUUCAUCUUAUGCAAGAAAAAUAUCUUUUGAAACAGUCUAUUAUAAACAAUUCUUAAUGCAUGUCUAUACCUUAAUAAGUUAAGGCACAGACAAAAAUAUUUUGUACUCAAUAACCUUCAAAAUUUAUCAAAAAUCACAAAACCACAAAAUGAAGAAUUUAUCAGUGCAGACUAAGGGAGAUUUAAAAAUAUGCUUCCAUAUCAUCUGUAACACACCUUAUAAUCAAUGGAGAUUCAGAAAAGUGUUUAUAAAUGAUAAAUGGUAAGCUUUUGCCCAGACUGUUAUCUCUAUAAUUAUUGCUGUUCUUAACACUUCUGAAUUUCAGAAUUUGACUACUAUUUAACACAUGUACUGGAAUUUCUCCUAAUAAAAAAAGUACUCAGGAAGCUAUAUGGAGAUUUCCUGAAAGCUGUGAUUGAUGAAGUAGGUCAGACUUAACAUGCCUGUUAAGCCAUCCUGCCAUGAAAUAAAUGAAGAACAUCUGAACUCGUUUACCAUCCAUGGUCUGCAAACCAUCAACUCAAAGAAUUCUCUAGGUUAAAAAAAAUUCCCAGAUUAUCAGCCCCCAUAUAUCUUCUGAUCAAGGCACUUUAUUUGAAUUCUAUAUAAACUUUUUGUUAUUUUUUUUUUCUUGGGUUAAUGAUAAAAAUUCUCUUAGACUAGUACUUUAUGCUUUGUAAAUCAGGUCUGUUUUCUCAGUUAAAGCUUUAUUUUAUUCCAAUCACUUCACUAAAAUAAUCCAAGCAGUCUUCAUUGCAAAUGGAUUUCUGAAGCUUCAGUUUUUCCCCCGAGUUGUCCUAUCAAUUUGAUAAUGUCAGAGUAGGAGUUUGGAGUUGGAUAACUCGACAACUCAAAUUUCGGGAAAAUAGGUUGAACAAAAGUAUUGUUUAUCGAGAUUUAAUCACCAAAUCUUUUAAAGAAAUGACAGAAAAUGAUAUUGAAAAAAGAAGUAGAAAGCAUAAACCUUAUGUAUUAUUCACUGGUAAUGAAUAUCACCAGUAGAGUGCCUAUCACAAUUGCAUUUUAAUAAUUUCACAAAUUUCUUGAAAUCUCGAACUUUCCAAAAUUUCUACCCAAUUAUACCAAUGUAUUUAUACAUAAUAUUUCUGGUCCUAAAAUUUAUGUACAAAAACUAUGGAACAUACAGAUGUUGGCAGCUAGUCUUAUCCUGUGUUCAUGAAACUUUAUAUAUUUGUUAUUAAUCACCCCCCAGAGCACUAAGACACCCCCUGCAAGGUAAGCAUCUUAUUGCCAGCAGAAAUGCAGAUAUCAAAGGCAGCAUAAUUCUUGCUAGAUGACACACAGAGUGUAACAUUGCUAAUGGCAACAAAGGUGGGGCCCCACUAAUGCAACAACAAGUUGUUAAUUAUAGGAUAUAAGUACAUGCUUAUUGCAUCCAGUUAUAAAAACUUGCAUUCUAUUACAUUAAACUUGUGUUCAUCAAAUUUGAACAACACUUUUUCAAUUUUAUUCUGUUUCAAAAACUCCUUUUUCAUUACAAGUUUUUGAAAAUUCAUCAGUUUUAAACAAAAUUCACUACUCUUGAGUUGAUUUUGGUGAAUGGCUACCAGCAGUACAAUGUAUGUAGUACAUCCUUCACUACAUCACAGCUGCUGUGUAAAGUUUUGGACCCAAAAUGAUUGCAUCCAGACAUCCCACUAAAAACACCCUGAAUCUGGGUCAUCUGAUGAACAGUCAGGAUAAAGCAACAGCAGGGGGCAUAUCCUCACAAUCUUCAACAUAUACUACUUGUCUUCAGGAGAUCUCAGUGAUGACAACUCCACAAGUCUUCAGAAGACAGUAAUGGAAUAUCCACAACACUUUAGGAGACUACUAAGGCCAACUCUAUUCUUGCUGGAGUGAAACACUAUUAAAGCAGGGAAGAAAGCAGUGGAAUUGAUGGCCAAUGGAUAUCAACCUAGAAAACUUGGUGGUUAGAGCACCUGACUAGUGAUUAUAAUGCACACAUUGCCAGUUCUCGACCCAGGCCAGCUGACAAGAUCCCCAGCAGAAUAUCCUCUCUGUUACACCAUAACACCAAACUGAAUAGUUACAAUAGCCGCAUCCUAAGCCCAGGAGCCAUAGUAUGAACAAACUUGAAUCUACACUAAAAGAUUAGGAUCCUUGCAAAAAGACAAAUUAUAUUUUGUACACUUGCGCUUUUGAGAAGAAGAUUUUUUAAAAGAAUUUUCCAAUAAAAUCUUAUGUGGAAAUUGGAACCCAGUACUAGUCUUCUGAUGG